RNAcentral lists this transfer RNA (112 nucleotides) under Cercophora newfieldiana. It matches the Rfam family "tRNA". From Rfam's summary of the family: Transfer RNA (tRNA) molecules are approximately 80 nucleotides in length. The record is from Rfam by way of RNAcentral. Lineage: Eukaryota; Fungi; Ascomycota; Sordariomycetes; Sordariales; Lasiosphaeriaceae.
GGCGAGAUGGCCGAGCGGUCUAAGGCGCUACGUUAAGGAGGUUCCUUAAUAUUAUCAUUCCUAAAUGAUUCCGUAGUCCGAAAGGGCGUGGGUUCGAAUCCCACUCUCGUCA